RNAcentral lists this ribosomal RNA (397 nucleotides) under uncultured bacterium. Its description in RNAcentral is "partial 16S ribosomal RNA". It matches the Rfam family "Bacterial small subunit ribosomal RNA", at positions 523 to 918 of the family's 1533-position model. The record is from RNAcentral.
AUACGUAGGUGGCAAGCGUUGUCCGGAAUUAUUGGGCGUAAAGCGCGCGCAGGUGGUUCCUUAAGUCUGAUGUGAAAGCCCCCGGCUCAACCGGGGAGGGUCAUUGGAAACUGGGGAACUUGAGUGCAGAAGAGGAUAGUGGAAUUCCAAGUGUAGCGGUGAAAUGCGUAGAGAUUUGGAGGAACACCAGUGGCGAAGGCGACUGUCUGGUCUGUAACUGACACUGAGGCGCGAAAGCGUGGGGAGCAAACAGGAUUAGAUACCCUGGUAGUCCACGCCGUAAACGAUGAGUGCUAAGUGUUGGGGGGUUUCCGCCCCUCAGUGCUGCAGCUAACGCAUUAAGCACUCCGCCUGGGGAGUACGGUCGCAAGACUGAAACUCAAAUGAAAUGACGGGG